GUGUCACCACAUAUGGAGCAUUUUCUGCAAACAUGGUGUUUUGCUCUCUCUAUGAUACGUGAUGAUAUUGAGAAGGAAGACGCCUUUCGUGGUUUAUGUGCAAUGGUAAAGGCAAAUCCAUCAGGUGCAUUAAAUUCACUCGUCUUUAUGUGCAAAGCCAUUGCAAGUUGGCAUGAGAUACGAAGUGAAGAUCUACGCAAUGAAAUCUGCUUGGUUUUGCAGGGAUAUAAGCAAAUGCUCAAGGAUGGUGCUUGGGAACAGUUCAUGUCAGCUUUGGAGCCCUCAGUGAAGGACAAGUUGUCGAUGUAUCAAGUUUAGUUAUUUAUUGACAGAGUGGAUCUCCCAAGUUUCAAUGCAUGUUGUCAUCUCGACUGUAUGACACUUCACAUCUAUGGAUCUAUUGGCUUUGUGUUGGUGUUACUCUUAACAUUGUCAGAUUGUUAUUGUUGCCAUGCAUGUUGAUCAAACAGUCUUGGGUUCAAUUUCAUCCAGGCAACAUUCUCAUUGAAGAUUGAAGCUAUUUUUAUUCUUCAAAGCUUCAGGGCUGCAGGUUUUGGGCACAACAAUUGGAGAAGCUGAGGUUUGACAAAUUUAGUGUACAGGUGUGAAUGCAACAAUUAUAUUUGAUUUUGUUGGUGUCUGUCCUGAAGGGGCGAGAUCCUAAAUCUUAAGAUAAUUGGGUGUGAGAAUUUUAUAUUGGGUUGAAGAGCAACUUUUCCUGAUUUUAUCUUUCCAUUAUAAGGUCCCAUUGGUUGAUUUUAGACUACGAUAUCAUAGCUAGAUGUCUCAGAAUUUGUUGAUCCACCUUCUCAUCUGGAGGUUUGAAAGUGAUGGUCCGUUGGGAGGUAUGAAUGAUCUCGAUGGUGGGCGAGAGAAAUAAUUGUUGUCUGUACUUUGUGGUUAUUGGUAGAGGGGUUUAAAUUUUAUGUAUCAUUUUAAAGAAAAUAUUAUGUCAUUUUAUCCUACACGAUUUUUUAGUACCGUCUAAAGGAAGAUGAAAAAAUAUUUGAUAGUUAUAACUAGAAAUGGAAUGCGAAAUUCAAAGAUGCUG
This 1051-nucleotide unclassified non-coding RNA is filed under the name Hevea brasiliensis (rubber tree). The record is from RNAcentral. Lineage: Eukaryota; Viridiplantae; Streptophyta; Magnoliopsida; Malpighiales; Euphorbiaceae.